GCAGUUAUGGCGGAAUUGGCAGACGCGCUAGAUUCAGGUUCUAGUGCCCGCAAGGGCGUGGAGGUUCGAGUCCUCUUAACUGCACCA
This 87-nucleotide transfer RNA is filed under the name Paenibacillus arenosi. RNAcentral describes it as "Paenibacillus sp. CAU 1523 tRNA-Leu". It matches the Rfam family "tRNA". From Rfam's summary of the family: Transfer RNA (tRNA) molecules are approximately 80 nucleotides in length. The record is from RNAcentral. RNAcentral also lists the same sequence under 2 other names. Lineage: Bacteria; Bacillati; Bacillota; Bacilli; Caryophanales; Paenibacillaceae.